UCUCCCUCAACUUUUCUUGAGUCUCUUCUCAAGGAAUCUAGCUCUUUCCUUGAUUCCCUUCUCAAGAAAUCAGCGUGCCUCUUCUAAGAACCUUUCUUGGUGUCUUUUAUCCCUUUGUCAAGAAUCUUUUUUGACUUCUUAACUCCCUUAACCGAGAACCUUCUUUGGCUUCUUGGCAUCAUUCCUUUUGGAUGUCCAACUAUUGGACAUGAAAGCCUUGGGGCAUGAAAACUCUUUUCAUGCGAAUGGUGCCUUCGGAUGUGAGGCCUC
This 270-nucleotide long non-coding RNA is filed under the name Elaeis guineensis (African oil palm). Its description in RNAcentral is "long non-coding RNA (EGUI_LNC008956)". The record is from RNAcentral. Lineage: Eukaryota; Viridiplantae; Streptophyta; Magnoliopsida; Arecales; Arecaceae.